RNAcentral lists this ribosomal RNA (225 nucleotides) under uncultured Bacillota bacterium. Its description in RNAcentral is "uncultured Firmicutes bacterium partial 16S ribosomal RNA". It matches the Rfam family "Bacterial small subunit ribosomal RNA", at positions 109 to 334 of the family's 1533-position model. Lineage: Bacteria; Bacillati; Bacillota. The record is from RNAcentral.
AGUAACGCGUGGAUAACCUGCCGUAUACAGGGGGAUAACACUUAGAAAUAGGUGCUAAUACCGCAUAUGCGCACGGCCCCGCAUGGGGCCGCGCGGAAAGCGCAUGCGGUGCGGGAUGGGUCCGCGUCUGAUUAGCUUGUUGGCGGGGUAACGGCCCACCAAGGCGACGAUCAGUAGCCGGCCUGAGAGGGUGGACGGCCACAUUGGGACUGAGACACGGCCCAG